CAGAUACGGUCUCAAAGCUGGCAGAGACCGGGGACCAUUCCCAGCAGGAAAUUUAGAUGAAGUCACUCCAUGGCGGAGGCUGAGAUUAGAAGUGCUCUGCCUUUUCACCUGGGGAUAAAUCUGAUGCAGGGAUCUUCUGAUUGGCCCCUGGACGGUUGUGAAGAGCAAGCAUCCUUCACCAGCCUCCAGAAACCGCAUAAAGCCAAGCUCUGCUCCUUCAUCUUAACGUGUCUGGGUGGCUGACACUGAUCCACGGGACCGUUCCAACCUAGAGCCUCCUCUUACCUGUGACGGCACCUCCCAGCCCGCCUUCUGCCAUGAAAAUCCUUUGCUUGCUCUUGGCGCUCCUCUUUGUGGCAUUUCAUGGAGCUGCAGGUACGGUGUAAAUGAUAAAAGCAGAUACUGAUGUCUCAUAAAGGUCUCUGGUCCCCUUUGGGAAGCAGCCAAGCUGCCUCCUGCAAAGUAACUUCACUCAUAUCAUCAAACCUCGCUGGCAGAUUACAGCUGAUGCAUGAAAUUAGCAGGCAAGCGCUCUGACCAGCAGUUCAGUGCCUUUGCUACUCCUCCAAAAAUCCAGUCUGAGUUGAAAGCACGAUGGACAGCCCCCUAAUUCCCCUUCAGUGCCUGCAUUUCCCCCAUUAAAGCUUGCCAACUCUUGGAGCACUUUCAUUGUCUCUGGCUCACCCUACAACAAACCACCCCGAAUCAAAUAUUCUUAAGCCACAUAGAAAAAAAAAAAAAAAGACAUUGGGUCCCGUGUUUUCCAAAUAUGCUUGAGGACCUUGCACAUGGGUUGGGGAGGCAAAAGAUCACGAGUCAAGGUCAAAAUGCUGGUGGUACCCUCUGCUUGGUGGGGAAUCCUAUGCAACCACAAGUGUUUUAGGAAGGAUUAGGGCUUGUUGGGGGGACCCACAGGGUGCUGGAACCCCAAACUCACGUUAUUGUCCAGCAAAAGGAGCUGUUUUUAAACAGCAUCCUUGAAAAUGGCAAAAUUACAGUGCAGGGCACUAUGAGCACAAGUGUCAGUAGAGUUUUGGGGUUGAUCAAUGUGGGAAUAGGAUGGUAAAUGUUCUCCGGGGUUUAAGGAUGGGAAAAGACCAGGCAGGCCCAGGGAACAUGCUGUAUUAAUUGGUAGUCUGCUCCCUGGGGCAAUUUUUCACCCCUGACAACUAACACUGUCACUGAUAAAACCCAGACAUCCUUCUGGGAAUAGUACAAACCAUUCCCAAAAGCGGUCUGAAUGGGGAUAUCGUAUUUUAUGUGGGAAGAAAGUGUAGCCAUGUGGACAAGAGCAAUGCUGUGCUGCUUGGCCCAAGACCUAGAGGGCAACGCCCGGCAUAGAAGUGGUCAUUUUGCAUGUGCUGAUGGGUUUAUCUGUACACAGUGGCCAUCUGUAUGGACCUCUUGACACCAGGACCUGCUGGGAGACCUGGGUGAAACCUACCGCGAGGACAAUAGGCCAGAUCUGUGGAAAUCCAGGCACACAAAAAUAAAUCCUCGUCAUUCUGCCCCAAGAAGUGGCAGCUUCCCAGCUGAGCUGGUGCAGCUCUCCUGGAUUGCAACCAAGUCCUAAGCAAUGUUUUCUAUCCCGUCUCUGCUGUCUGUUCCUAAAAUCGGAGUUUCUAAGGGAGUCCUGGGCUUGGAGAUACAAUUCUUGUAUUUGAAGAAGGAAUUAGAGCAUGUGUUUGCUUGUACUGCCCAUAGCCCUCCUCUGGACAUUGCGUUAGCACUGUAAUGGCUCUGGGUACUUUUUUUUUUUUUUU
Molecule: long non-coding RNA, 1763 nt
Organism: Cygnus olor (mute swan)
Lineage: Eukaryota; Metazoa; Chordata; Aves; Anseriformes; Anatidae
Exons: 3
Source: RefSeq, a predicted model, not a curated record